AUUCUUUUAAAUCACAAGAAAAAUAAUCAAGUAGAAAUGGCAAAAGUUUCAAUUUAUUUCUAUCUCCUUCUUAUCAUCACAUUCUCUGUCCUUAACUUGACGAUUGCCCAAGAUAAAAAGAUUAGAGAUUUGCAAUGUGCUGCUCCAAUUCCCAACAUAAGUUGCAAGUUGAAGGAAGAUUGUACGCCAAGUUGCGAGGAUAAAUAUAAAGAUAAAUUUCUUGGUGCGGGUUGUAUAUUAAGCCCAGAAGAUAUUCGUAUUUGUAUUUGUGGCUACAAAUGCAGAAAUUAAAAGUUUCUUUAUCAAAAUGUUAAGACUUUAUCAUUUGUUUGAUAGAGUUAUAGGGUUGAUGUUCUAUGGUCAAAGUGAAUAUUCCAUUACUUAAUUUACAAAUGGUGGUUAUGCUA
Long non-coding RNA from Capsicum annuum, 407 nucleotides. RefSeq lists it as uncharacterized. The record is from RefSeq and is a predicted model, not a curated record. The transcript is spliced from 2 exons. NCBI's taxonomy places the organism in Eukaryota, Viridiplantae, Streptophyta, Magnoliopsida, Solanales, Solanaceae.